RNAcentral lists this unclassified non-coding RNA (200 nucleotides) under Hevea brasiliensis (rubber tree). The record is from RNAcentral. Lineage: Eukaryota; Viridiplantae; Streptophyta; Magnoliopsida; Malpighiales; Euphorbiaceae.
CAGCUUCGUGAAGAGCUUCGAAUAUCUAUAUCAGAAAAAGUUAUACCAGCUUACCGAGCAUUUUUGGGAAGGUUUGGAAGUCAGCUAGAGAGUGGAAGGCAUGCUGGAAAAUACAUUAAGUAUACAGCAGAGGAUUUAGAGAAUUAUUUACUGGAUCUGUUUGAAGGGACGCCUCUUGUUCUUCACCACAUGAGAAGAAA